Molecule: ribosomal RNA, 425 nt
Filed under: uncultured bacterium
Lineage: Bacteria
Description: partial 16S ribosomal RNA
Rfam family: Bacterial small subunit ribosomal RNA
Source: RNAcentral
GUGGGGAAUCUUGCGCAAUGGACGAAAGCCUGACGCAGCCAUGCCGCGUGAAUGAUGAAGGUCUUAGGAUUGUAAAAUUCUUUCACCGGGGACGAUAAUGACGGUACCCGGAGAAGAAGCUCCGGCUAACUUCGUGCCAGCAGCCGCGGUAAUACGAAGGGGGCUAGCGUUGCUCGGAAUUACUGGGCGUAAAGGGCGCGUAGGCGGACAGCUUAGUCAGAGGUGAAAGCCCAGGGCUCAACCUUGGAAUUGCCUUUGAUACUGGCUGUCUUGAGUUUGGGAGAGGUGAGUGGAACUCCGAGUGUAGAGGUGAAAUUCGUAGAUAUUCGGAAGAACACCAGUGGCGAAGGCGACUCACUGGCCCAAUACUGACGCUGAGGCGCGAAAGCGUGGGGAGCAAACAGGAUUAGAAACCCCUGUAGUCC